Molecule: unclassified non-coding RNA, 124 nt
Filed under: soil metagenome
Description: partial internal transcribed spacer 1
Source: RNAcentral
AAGAAUUUAAAGAGUGCACUUCAUUGUGGCUCGACAUUUUCUACCAUUCACCCUAGUGCACCGUAAUACCUUUUUUAUUAGACUCUACAAAGUUAAUGAAUGUAACACUUUUUAUAAAGAAAUA